This 497-nucleotide ribosomal RNA is filed under the name uncultured bacterium. RNAcentral describes it as "partial 16S ribosomal RNA". It matches the Rfam family "Bacterial small subunit ribosomal RNA", at positions 28 to 507 of the family's 1533-position model. The record is from RNAcentral.
GAUGAACGCUGGCGGCGUGCCUAAUACAUGCAAGUCGAGCGAACGGACGAGAAGCUUGCUUCUCUGAUGUUAGCGGCGGACGGGUGAGUAACACGUGGAUAACCUACCUAUAAGACUGGGAUAACUUCGGGAAACCGGAGCUAAUACCGGAUAAUAUUUUGAACCGCAUGGUUCAAAAGUGAAAGACGGUCUUGCUGUCACUUAUAGAUGGAUCCGCGCUGCAUUAGCUAGUUGGUAAGGUAACGGCUUACCAAGGCAACGAUGCAUAGCCGACCUGAGAGGGUGAUCGGCCACACUGGAACUGAGACACGGGCCAGACUCCUACGGGAGGCAGCAGGAGGGAAUCUUCCGCAAUGGGCGGAAGCCUGACGGAGCAACGCCGCGGGAGGGAUGAAGGGCUUCGGAUCGUAAAACUCUGUUAUUAGGGAAGAACAUAUGUGUAAGUAACUGUGCACAUCCUGACGGUACCUAAUCAGAAAGCCACGGCUAACUACGGG